AUGAAUGCCAGUUCGCCCCAUAUUUCUCGUAGCUGCGCCGGUGCUCGUUGCGAUGCUUGCCGGCACCUGACGCGCAUUACGACCGUAUCAGCCGAGCCGCAUGCCUCUAUCGACGAGGCAGCGGCUUUUUUU
Non-coding RNA from Mumia flava, 132 nucleotides. The record is from Rfam. NCBI's taxonomy places the organism in Bacteria, Bacillati, Actinomycetota, Actinomycetes, Propionibacteriales, Nocardioidaceae.